This is an unclassified non-coding RNA of Cercocebus atys (sooty mangabey), 95 nucleotides long. It matches the Rfam family "Y RNA". From Rfam's summary of the family: Y RNAs are components of the Ro ribonucleoprotein particle (Ro RNP), in association with Ro60 and La proteins. The Y RNAs and Ro60 and La proteins are well conserved, but the function of the Ro RNP is not known. In humans the RNA component can be one of four small RNAs -- hY1, hY3, hY4 and hY5. The record is from Ensembl. Lineage: Eukaryota; Metazoa; Chordata; Mammalia; Primates; Cercopithecidae.
GGCUGGUCUGAGUGCAGUGGUGUUCACAACUAAUUGAGCACAACCAGUUUCCAAUUGGUUCCUUCUCCACUCCCACUGUUUCACCUGACUAUUAA